ACCAAGUGCCGGGCCCCUCUGGCGAGAGUAUCAGCGGCGCUCUCGUGAUGUCGGCACUACCCG
This is a non-coding RNA of Rhizobium sp., 63 nucleotides long. The record is from Rfam. NCBI's taxonomy places the organism in Bacteria, Pseudomonadati, Pseudomonadota, Alphaproteobacteria, Hyphomicrobiales, Rhizobiaceae.